Cebus imitator (Panamanian white-faced capuchin) is the source of this 92-nucleotide unclassified non-coding RNA. Its record names the gene 7SK. It matches the Rfam family "7SK RNA". Rfam says of the family: 7SK was discovered as an abundant small nuclear RNA in the mid-70s but a possible function has only recently been suggested. Two independent studies have found that 7SK RNA binds the CDK9/cyclin T complex (known as elongation factor P-TEFb). P-TEFb activates transcription by phosphorylating the C-terminal domain of RNA polymerase II. NCBI's taxonomy places the organism in Eukaryota, Metazoa, Chordata, Mammalia, Primates, Cebidae. The record is from Ensembl.
AGGGCCAUCUGGCCGGAGCAUCUGUUACUGAAUUGGCUGCCAGGAUUGUUUCCACUGAUCUGACUGGCUAAGUGGGUGUUCCUUUCCUCCUU